GGAGCGCAGGAUCGUGGGCUGUGUCCCCAGCACCCUGGGAUCCGGGGCCUGUGCUGCUGGAACCGUGUCCUGGGGCCGCCGCUCC
RNAcentral lists this microRNA precursor (85 nucleotides) under Canis lupus familiaris (dog). RNAcentral describes it as "mir-8799 microRNA precursor family". It matches the Rfam family "mir-8799 microRNA precursor family". RNAcentral also lists the same sequence under 1 other name. The record is from Rfam by way of RNAcentral. Lineage: Eukaryota; Metazoa; Chordata; Mammalia; Carnivora; Canidae.